GACGAACGCUGGCGGCGUGCUUAACACAUGCAAGUCGAACGGAAAGGCCCUGCUUUUGUGGGGUGCUCGAGUGGCGAACGGGUGAGUAACACGUGAGUAACCUGCCCUUGACUUUGGGAUAACUUCAGGAAACUGGGGCUAAUACCGGAUAGGAGCUCCUGCUGCAUGGUGGGGGUUGGAAAGAUUCGGCGGUUGGGGAUGGACUCGCGGCUUAUCAGCUUGUUGGUGGGGUAGUGGCUUACCAAGGCUUUGACGGGUAGCCGGCCUGAGCGGGUGACCGGCCGCAUUGGGACUGAGGUACGGCCCAGACGCCUACGGGAGGCAGCAGUGGGGAAUAUUGCACAAUGGGCGGAAGCCUGAUGCAGCAACGCCGCGUGCGGGAUGACGGCCUUCGGGUUGUAAACCGCUUUCGCCUGUGACGAAGCGUGAGUGACGGUAAUGGGUAAAGAAGCACCGGCUAACUACGUG
This 468-nucleotide ribosomal RNA is filed under the name uncultured bacterium. RNAcentral describes it as "partial 16S ribosomal RNA". It matches the Rfam family "Bacterial small subunit ribosomal RNA", at positions 28 to 507 of the family's 1533-position model. The record is from RNAcentral.